Molecule: ribosomal RNA, 497 nt
Filed under: uncultured bacterium
Lineage: Bacteria
Description: partial 16S ribosomal RNA
Rfam family: Bacterial small subunit ribosomal RNA
Source: RNAcentral
GAUGAACGCUGGCGGCGUGCCUAAUACAUGCAAGUCGAGCGAACAGAUAAGGAGCUUGCUCCUUUGACGUUAGCGGCGGACGGGUGAGUAACACGUGGGUAACCUACCUAUAAGACUGGGAUAACUUCGGGAAACCGGAGCUAAUACCGGAUAACAUCUGGAACCGCAUGGUUCUAAAGUGAAAGAUGGUUUUGCUAUCACUUCUAGAUGGACCCGCGCCGUAUUAGCUAGUUGGUAAGGUAACGGCUUACCAAGGCGACGAUACGUAGCCGACCUGAGAGGGUGAUCGGCCACACUGGAACUGAGACACGGUCCAGACGCCUACGGGAGGCAGCAGUAGGGAAUCUUCCGCAAUGGGCGAAAGCCUGACGGAGCAACGCCGCGUGAGUGAUGAAGGGUUUCGGCUCGUAAAACUCUGUUAUUAGGGAAGAACAAAUGUGUAAGUAACUGUGCACGUCUUGACGGUACCUAAUCAGAAAGCCACGGCUAACUACGUG